Molecule: transfer RNA, 73 nt
Filed under: Trichonephila inaurata madagascariensis
Lineage: Eukaryota; Metazoa; Arthropoda; Arachnida; Araneae; Nephilidae
Rfam family: tRNA
About the family: Transfer RNA (tRNA) molecules are approximately 80 nucleotides in length. Their secondary structure includes four short double-helical elements and three loops (D, anti-codon, and T loops).
Source: Rfam by way of RNAcentral
GUCCCUGUAGUGCAAUGGAUAGCACGUUGGAAUUCUAAUCCAAAGGUCGUCGGGUCGAAUCCCACCUGGGAUG